GGCAGGUUCGGCGGCCGAAACCCCUCUCCAGAGACGAAACUCAUGCAUGUUCGGCGGCACCUUCGGCGGCCGAAAGUCUCGUCCAAAGACGAAACUCAACCUUCGGCGGCACUUUCGGCGGCCGAACCUUGCCUCCAGAGAUGAAAGUCCCAAGUUUCGGGGGCAAGCUUUGGCAGCCGAAACUGCCUCCACAAGGGGUUCGGUGGCCGAACCUUCCUUCGGCGGCCGAACCUGGUUUUGCCCGCUGGGCAGAACCCUGCUCUGAUUCAUGCAAACCUUUCCCCCAAACUUAUCCAACAUGCAUACCAACU
This 311-nucleotide long non-coding RNA is filed under the name Manihot esculenta (cassava). RNAcentral's name for it is "long non-coding RNA (MESC_LNC013075)". The record is from RNAcentral. Lineage: Eukaryota; Viridiplantae; Streptophyta; Magnoliopsida; Malpighiales; Euphorbiaceae.